GAGUUUGAUCCUGGCUCAGAUUGAACGCUGGCGGCAUGCCUAACACAUGCAAGUCGCGCGCUUGGAGGGGCAACCUGAAGGGAGCGGCGGACGGGUGAGGAAUACAUCGGAAUCUACCUUAAGGUGGGGGAUAACCCAGGGAAACUUGGGCUAAUACCGCAUGAUCUGGAGACAGCAAAGGGGGGGACCGCAAGGCCUCUCGCCUUUAGAUGAGCCGAUGUCUGAUUAGCUAGUUGGUAGGGUAAAGGCCUACCAAGGCUACGAUCAGUAGCUGGUCUGAGAGGAUGAUCAGCCACAUUGGGACUGAGACAC
RNAcentral lists this ribosomal RNA (312 nucleotides) under uncultured gamma proteobacterium 187ev. RNAcentral describes it as "bacterial SSU rRNA". It matches the Rfam family "Bacterial small subunit ribosomal RNA", at positions 9 to 327 of the family's 1533-position model. Lineage: Bacteria; Pseudomonadati; Pseudomonadota; Gammaproteobacteria. The record is from RNAcentral.